Molecule: ribosomal RNA, 497 nt
Filed under: uncultured bacterium
Lineage: Bacteria
Description: partial 16S ribosomal RNA
Rfam family: Bacterial small subunit ribosomal RNA
Source: RNAcentral
GACGAACGCUGGCGGCGUGCCUAAUACAUGCAAGUUGAGCGCUGAAGGUUGGUACUUGUACCAACUGGAUGAGCAGCGAACGGGUGAGUAACGCGUGGGGAAUCUGCCUUUGAGCGGGGGACAACAUUUGGAAACGAAUGCUAAUACCGCAUAAAAACUUUAAACACAAGUUUUAAGUUUGAAAGAUGCAAUUGCAUCACUCAAAGAUGAUCCCGCGUUGUAUUAGCUAGUUGGUGAGGUAAAGGCUCACCAAGGCGAUGAUACAUAGCCGACCUGAGAGGGUGAUCGGCCAAAUUGGGACUGAGACACGGCCCAAACUCCUACGGGAGGCAGCAGUAGGGAAUCUUCGGCAAUGGACGAAAGUCUGACCGAGCAACGCCGCGUGAGUGAAGAAGGUUUUCGGAUCGUAAAACUCUGUUGGUAGAGAAGAACGUUGGUGAGAGUGGAAAGCUCAGCAAGUGACGGUAACUACCCAGAAAGGGACGGCUAACUACGUG